UACGUAGGGCGCGAGCGUUGUCCGGAAUUAUUGGGCGUAAAGAGCUCGUAGGCGGCUUGGUGCGUCUGCUGUGAAAUCCCGGGGCUUAACCCCGGGCGUGCAGUGGAUACGGGCAGGCUGGAGGCAGGCAGGGGAGAAUGGAAUUCCCGGUGUAGCGGUGAAAUGCGCAGAUAUCGGGAGGAACACCGGUGGCGAAGGCGGUUCUCUGGGCCUGUACUGACGCUGAGGAGCGAAAGCGUGGGGAGCGAACAGG
This 253-nucleotide ribosomal RNA is filed under the name uncultured bacterium. RNAcentral describes it as "partial 16S ribosomal RNA". It matches the Rfam family "Bacterial small subunit ribosomal RNA", at positions 524 to 776 of the family's 1533-position model. The record is from RNAcentral.